Molecule: long non-coding RNA, 755 nt
Filed under: Mytilus galloprovincialis (Mediterranean mussel)
Lineage: Eukaryota; Metazoa; Mollusca; Bivalvia; Mytilida; Mytilidae
Source: RNAcentral
GUAAACAUACUAAUGUCUUGAUAAAAAAUUGGGUUAUUUUCAUAUAUUUUUUUGCAGGAAAUUCAAAAAGCCUAGUUACGGCAUCCCCCCUCCCCGGUUCUGAAUGUAGUCGAAGAAAAUGACUUCCAAGUUUUGUAAAGAAAUGCUUGCUCAGAUCCUACGAUUUUACAGUAUAAAAUGAAAAUAAAGGGGCAUGAUACAUGUAUAUACUAAUGUUAUUGUAAAAUGGUGUGGAUUACAUCAAAAACGCAAGGAAUAAAUGAAAAUCUGUUAAAAAACAAAAAGUAUUUACUAAAAAUCAUUCAAAAACAACAAUAAUAUAUGGAAAAAAGGUGUUCCAAACGUCAAACACCGGCCGCUUUAUUAAUUUUAUAUUGCUAUUUCUAAAUCUUUAUUAUUAGUACAAUUUCAUUAUUUUUUGAAUAGGGAACAUUAUUGUCGUGUAAGUGUGCCAUUAAACAUUUAUAGCAAUUGAUUUAGAUAUUUAUAAACAUGUCAUUAAGCAAUGUAAAUUGACCGAGAGGAAUUUCAACCUGCAUGUACAUGUAAAUAAACUAAUGACCCGAAUAAACGUGUACACUGUAUGUGUACAACAUGUAUUGUUUAGUACAAGAGAAAUCAAAAUGUAAGUAUUUAAUAUAAUUUUUAAUGAUUAAUCGACGUAUGUGUGAUAAACAUCCAGUGGCAAAUAUUUCAGAAAUAUUAAGGAGGAGAACACAUUUUAUGUCACUUACUACAACUGUUGACAAUGCUGC